This 1529-nucleotide long non-coding RNA is filed under the name Oryctolagus cuniculus (rabbit). RNAcentral describes it as "lncRNA (ENSOCUG00000034720.1)". The record is from RNAcentral. Lineage: Eukaryota; Metazoa; Chordata; Mammalia; Lagomorpha; Leporidae.
CCUUGGGGAGGUGGGGAGUGGGUGGGGGCUCCUUGGGGAGGUGAGGGUAUGGAAGGACAAGGUCACCACAUCUCCAGGCUCUCUACCCCACACCGCAGGGCUGGCGGCUGGGCGUGGAUCACAGGUGGAGGGCCAGCUGACAUCAUAUGCAGUGGUGCAGAGCAGAUGUGCAAGUCCAAGUGCGUUAGUUAGGCUCCCAUGGUCUCCUGAGGACCCGGGGCUGAGGACUGGCUUUCUGGUUGCACAGGGUUGUGAUGAACACCGUCGGUUUCUAGAACAACACCCAUGGGGUGCAGAAAGGGGUCCACAGGGCCGAAGGCCUCUUCCUGCUUUCCUCUCCUUCCAGCCAGUCUAACUCUAGGGCUUUGCUGCACUAUCUGUAUUUUAUGUCACAGGCAAUCAGACAGAAAAAGUUAAGACUGCUCAUGCCAGAAAAUUCCUAGAUCCUAGAUGAGAUGUUACUCUUACUCUGAAUCACCCACCUCCCAAAUCUGCCCACGUGUGUGUUCGCUCCUUGAUGGAUUUCACGAGAGGAACAAAGGACAUCUAGAAUUAUGGCACCUAAAAGCCAACUCUAUCAAGUAAUGAAAAAUCAUUUUAAUUUGUAGUCUUAUCUCACCUAAAGGUCACACAGAAUCCUGAGUGUAUUUCUCUAUUAGAGAAAUUUAAUUUAAAAAAUCUUCAAACUAGAAAAUGCAUCUUUUAUUAUUAUAGUUGUCCAUAUUGAUUCAAAUUGCAAAUGAGAAAAAAUGCAUAAAUUCAAUUUAAAUCCAAAGUAACGUAAUGAAAUUUAACAAUAUAAGUAUUAGCAUGAAUAUUAUCUGUUUUCUCCAUAUAGAAUCCCUGCGUGAGGAGCAAUUUGGGUAUCAUUUCCUGGACAGAGAGGACCUCGGGCGAGGCACAAAGGGGCUCUGAUGAUCUUUUGCCUUCUUAUUCUUGUGUAUAAUGAAAGCCACCACCAGUUUAAGCUGAGAAUCGAAGAAGAGACCGUUUGCUUUCCCCACAGAUCCAUAGGGAAUGGACUCUGUCUAAAACGCUUCCCUAGCCCAGCUCCUCUGUGGGCCACAGCCUUCCUUCUGGGUACGGAUAGAACGUGGGGCGAGGUAUCGCUGCUCAGGGUGUAGAGAUCAUGUUGUCAUGAAUCAUGCAAAUCUCCCUCUGUACCGACUACGGGGCCUCGCCUUGCUGCACAGCACAUGGCCACCCAAACCUUCCGUGAAGCCGAUGGCUCAGGUGGCCCUACAGUCCAUCAGAUGAGUACAAAGUCACCCAGGGGAACGAUGCCAGUCGCUGGCGAGCGUCAGUUGUGGGAAGGGUUGACUGUGGCAGGCAGCGGUAGAAUGUGGGGUACUGUUAGACGUGUCUAAUUACCACCGAGAGGGCCUGCCUUUGUGUCCACAGGAAAGACUAGAGCUCGUGUAAUGAUUAAACAGCAAAAAGAUCAAAACUAAAACGAGCAGACCACAAAUCAGACAAAAGUUACACAUACUUGUACACACAUACACCCCCCCCACACACACACACACGGG